Molecule: non-coding RNA, 2650 nt
Organism: Vicugna pacos (alpaca)
Lineage: Eukaryota; Metazoa; Chordata; Mammalia; Artiodactyla; Camelidae
Source: RefSeq, a predicted model, not a curated record
AGCUGGAGCUCCAGAGUGACUGGUUUCCCACAGCUGCUGUCCAGUUUGAACUGGGCUGUGCUUUGACUGUGGGUUCUUCACUGGGGUGGGUAUAAGAAGUACCUGCUGAAUCCAAGGGCUGACGCAGGCACCGCUCCUUGGAAGCAGGAUGUACACGCUGUUUUGAGAAUGGAAGCCGUUCUCCAGCACCAGGAGAUGAGACCACAGUUAAAGAGGCCCAACAGUGGACAAAACAGACGCCAAACACACACAGGAAGACCGAGGACUUGUAGGGAGGCAGAAGUCAGGAAAUAGUGGAACCCAUCCCUGUUCCUCUCCACCCUGCUCCCACGACAUGUUCCCACAUUGCCCCUUUGACAAUGAGAAAAUAUUCAAGAGAAUCCUACCAUCUUCCUAGACGACGAAACUGGAGCUGCUUCAGAGCUAUCUGUCAGCCUCUGCAGACUGGCACUCCUAGCUAAUCCCCAGGGCUCCCGGGGCCAGGGUGUCGGAGGUUUGUUGGUGCCCUGGGAGAGGUGACCCUAGGGAACAGGUGUGGCCCUCUCCAGUCAAGCAGAAGACAGGGGCUUGUCCGGGAUGUCAAAGAUUUUAAAUAUUUGCAGAGAGUUAAUCCCUUCUUUAUUUGUGAAGCUAAGACUAUUAUUUUUAAAAUACUUUUUACCUGCCGAUGUGGAAUUUAGGAAUCCUAAUUUAGGAAUUACUUGGGAGUCACUCCUCACAAGAAGCAGUGGGUGCUUAGAGAUGGCCGCUUCUGUUAACUCGCUUGCGACUGUCAUUUUAACAUCUUUUUUUGAGUCCUUCAUUGUCUGCUGAAUAAUGACCAAAGUCCAUGAUCUGACAUUCUUGGCCUUCUGUCAGCUGGCCACAGUCUCAUCCACUCCACCUCUCCACAGACCCCAUAAUCCAAUUAUCCCUGACUAUUGACAGUUCCGGAACACAUCAUAAAGUUUCAGUGCUUUUAUUGCUCCAACCUGAUAUGCCUUGUUUUUUUUUCAUUUUCCAGUUAUUAAAUUUCACUUAUUUACUUUCUUAAACAUUUAAUGAGCAUUGGGAAUACAAACAUGAAUGGACCUUGUCCUCCAGAAAUUUAGACUCUAAACAAGGGAGACUGACAUAGGAAUAAACAAACUCUCUUACUUGUCAUCUUCCUCAGGGUUCUGAUAUUCCUGUCCUCUGGAAAGUUUUCAAUGACCAGUGAAAACUGGGUCAUGUGCCACAAUUAUAGUAAUUGCCUGAUUCUCUAGUCUUUCUCUCCCCCUUAGGCUGUAGGCUUUUUAAGAGAGGAGAUGUUUUUAUUCAUAAUGGCUUUUUCCUUUCUUAGGAGAGUGGUUGUUCGGCACCUGUUAUUGGGCAAGGAGUGAGAGAAUGAAUUGCUCGACUGGAGGAAGCACAGGGUGUUAGGAGAGCAAAUAGAGGACAUGCUCCUCCCAGGCAUAAAACCAAAGAAGAUUGUCCAGAGGAUGCCUAAGCUGAGUUCAGAGGAUGGCCGAAAGUAAGAAUCAUCAACCAACAACUUCAGGUUUCUGGUUCCACAAGUAAGGUGCUUGGAAAUUGCCACUCGCUCCACUAUAACAAGUAAAAAGCUGAACAAACUGAAGAAGUGACAAUUCUUAGUUCGUAAGAGAUGUGAAGUCACAGGCCAUACUGCUGCGUCCAAAAUUAGAGAGACAGAAAGGUGAAUACAGAGAAUUCCAACUUAUCAGAGCAGAAUCUUGUGAGCAGAAACUCCUCUGUACUUAAAGGAUGCUCGAUGGGAACCAGGGCUGGGGUAGGAAAACCGGAGCUGUGAUUGACAGUUACUGGAGGCUCAGUGUGGACAAGUAUAUGCAAGAUAAGAACUCCAGGGGAACCCAAUCUUAUGGGCCCAUACUCUUGUGAGAAUACUUCUAAAUUCAUUCUGUGAGGCCAGCAUUACCCUAAUAUCAAAACCAGACAAAUACAUUACAAGAAAGAAAACUGCAGUCUGAUAUCUCUCAUGAGCAUAGACACAAAACUCCUCAACAAAAUACUAGCGAAUUGAACCCAACAAUGUAUAAAAAGAAUUAAGUAUCACGACCAAGUGGGAUUUAUCACAGGUAUGCAAUUCUGGUUCAACAUUUGAAAAUCAAGUAAUGUAAUCUAUCACAUCAACAGACUAAAGAAGAAAAUCUCAAGAUGAAAUCAAUAGAUGCAGAAAAAGUAGUUGACAAAUCCAAUACCUACUCAUGAUAAAACUCACAGUGAACUAGGAAUGGAAGGGAACUUUCUCAGUCUGAUCAAGGAUAACAAUCUACAGCUAACAUCAUACUCAAUGGAGAAACUGGAAGCCUUCUCUUUAAGAUCAUGUACAAAGCAAGAAUGUUCCUUCUUACCGAUUAUUUUCAACUUAGUAUUGGACGUCCUAGGUCAUGCAAUAAGAUGAGAAAAGGAAACAAAAGGUAUACUGAUUGGGAAGGAAGAAAUAAAACUGUAUGCAAAUGACAUGAUCAUCUAUGUAGAAAAUCUGAAAGAACUGAUUGAAAAACCAAAAACACCUCCUGGUAAUAAUAAGCAAUUAGAACAAGGUUAAAAGACAUAGGUUACUAUACAAAAGUCAAUUGCUUUCCUAUAUACCAGCAAUAAACAAGCAGAAUUUGAAACUGAAAACACAGUACUAUUUACAUUAGCAUCC